GAUCAUGGCUCAGGAUGAACGCUAGCGGCAGGCUUAACACAUGCAAGUCGAGGGGCAGCAUAAUGGAUAGCAAUAUCUAUGGUGGCGACCGGCGCACGGGUGCGUAACGCGUAUGCAACCUACCUUUAACAGGGGGAUAACACUGAGAAAUUGGUACUAAUACCCCAUAAUAUCAUAGAAGGCAUCUUUUAUGGUUGAAAAUUCCGAUGGUUAGAGAUGGGCAUGCGUUAUA
This 232-nucleotide ribosomal RNA is filed under the name uncultured bacterium. RNAcentral's name for it is "partial 16S ribosomal RNA". It matches the Rfam family "Bacterial small subunit ribosomal RNA", at positions 15 to 240 of the family's 1533-position model. The record is from RNAcentral.